Long non-coding RNA from Gallus gallus (chicken), 1562 nucleotides. NCBI's taxonomy places the organism in Eukaryota, Metazoa, Chordata, Aves, Galliformes, Phasianidae. The record is from Ensembl.
GCCAGAGAAGCGCAGCCAGGCAGGGGCUAGAAGGGAGAUCUUCUCAGAGAGAACUGUCGGUUUCAGUGUUUUCUCUUGCCUGUUGCUCUGCAUCAGUGAAGGCGUUGGAUGCUCACUGCCUGCUGUGCAGCACAACUCAUGGAUAAUGGCCCAAAUAUUCUCUCCAGAGAAACAAGUCGUUUGGAAACUGCAUUACACCAUCAGCGUGGUAUUAGAUAUUCCUUGCCAAGUGAUCCCACUGAAUGCCAGCUGGAAUAAGAUUAGCUCCUCCUGAACCUGAGACAUGAAACAAUGACUGCCAGAGACUCCUGCACUGGAGGACCUAGUACCCAUCUCGAAUUUUUAAGAUGCAGGAUCCUGGUUCACUGUCAGAGUUCUGUGUGAAACCUUUCUUUUUGCGAGACUCCUGUCCCUCAGUCUCUGGGUCUGCAUUUGAACUCUCCAGAAGAUGAAGUGUCCUUCCAUCUCUAUUUCUUCUUCUUCCCCGUGAAAGUCAAGCUGUGAGCAUGUGAGGGGGCAGUGCAUCUCAAUUGCAUCCUGCCAUCGUCCUGAUAAAUCCAGCAGUAUGUGGCAGCCCCCUUUAGAUACUGAAAGGCUGCUGUCAUAUCUCCCCAGAACCUUCUCUUCUUUGUGAUGAACAGCCCCAGCUCUCAUCCUGUCCUUGUAGAGAAGUGUUCCAUCCCUUGGAUCAUUUUUUUGGCCCUUGUCUGAAUGUGCUCCAACAGCUCCAUGUCUCUCCUGUAUUGAGGACUCCACAUCUGGACACAGUACUCCAGGUGAAGUCUCGCAGCACAGAUCAGAGGGACAGGAUCACUCCCUUGACUUGCUGGCCAUGCUCCUUUUGAUGCAGCCCAGGAUAUGGUUGGAUUUCUGGGCUGUGAGGGUACAUUGCUGGCUCAUGUCCAGCUUGCCAUCCACCAUUACCACCAUGUCCUUUUUGGCAGGACUAUGCUCAAUUUGACAAAUGAAGUAUGUGAAAUAAGAGGUCUUGAUAUCUUCAAUUCAGCCUUUGGGAGAUCUAAAUUAUUUUCUUGGAGAUGAAGUUGUUAACCCUCAUAGCUAAGUUUGACCUAAAUCUGUGAAGGUCAGAAAUAGCCCUUUCGAGCUUCCAUUUUAAACUACAGGUUUCACCAACUGCGUUUUAACUUACUUUAUUCAAACAAACAAACAAACAAACAAACAAAAACAAAGAAACCAACCAAACAGACAAACAAAAACCCCACACAAUGAAUGAAAUAUUCCCACUAGUUAAGAGUGACCUUGGAAAUAAUUCACAAAUGUUAAGCACAGUUACACUGAUGCAUGGGCAGAUUGGUUGGAGAUAUACUCAUUAAGCAAAAAUAUCUCAAAAAGAAACCAUGCACUGAAACACAGUGGCAGUACAUAUGCAAAAUAAUAAAUCUUUUACAAAGUCCCAUCAGUACUGGGGAAAUUCUUCAUGAUUGGUGGACUUUGCCUGUGUCCCAGCUGAUUCAAAGUCAAUGGUCAUGCAGUUAUACUGUACUGUAUAUCAUCUAAAAAGCAAUUUUCUCUCCAUUUGCAGGAAAGCUUCAGAUUUGAUC